RNAcentral lists this long non-coding RNA (581 nucleotides) under Hordeum vulgare. RNAcentral's name for it is "long non-coding RNA (HVUL_LNC020210)". Lineage: Eukaryota; Viridiplantae; Streptophyta; Magnoliopsida; Poales; Poaceae. The record is from RNAcentral.
ACGCAAUUCUCUUGCGUGUGCUUGAAAAGAAACUCCCCUCGCUGUGAUUGAACUCAACUCCAAUUUGCAUUUAACUCUCGGGAGAACAGAGUUGAAGGAGCCGACGCCGCUGCCUCCGGGUCCCACUCGUCACACCUAUCCCCAACCUCCGGCUCCGCCCGCAGCGAAGCAGCGCCGCUAUCUUCGCCUGCUGCUGCUGCGCGCGCGCGCGAGUGGCCCGAACCCCCGCUCUAUAUCCUCUGCUCAACCCUCCCGCAACGCGCUCCAUCCUCCCUCUCCCCCUCAUGGCUUGGCCGCCUCUGCGCUCGCAAUUUGAUCCGACCCGCUCGCAUCAGGCCUUGUGCCCGCAAUCGAGCAUCCGGCGACUCGCCGUGCCCCGAAGACCGCAUCCCUUUGUUCCAUGGUUCAGUCCUUCGAGCUCUGGAGGCAGGGAGCAUGUAAUCGAUUCCCCCGCCGCGCCGCCGAUUGCCCUCGCCGGUGAGCCUCGUCCGAUUCCAUCCGCGUCUCAGUGCGCCAUUGAUCUCUACCUGAUAAUAUUUACCCCACUUAAUUUGCAGCCGCCCGCACCGGAGAGAUCGANN